RNAcentral lists this ribosomal RNA (406 nucleotides) under uncultured bacterium. RNAcentral's name for it is "partial 16S ribosomal RNA". It matches the Rfam family "Bacterial small subunit ribosomal RNA", at positions 30 to 526 of the family's 1533-position model. The record is from RNAcentral.
AUUGAACGCUGGCGGCAGGCUUAACACAUGCAAGUCGAGCGCGCCUCGUACGCUUGAGUUAUUUCUGGGAAACUUCCUGAUGGUUGGGGAUAACUACUGGAAACGGUAUCUAAUACCGCAUACCAUCUGAUGUGCCCAGAUGGGAUUAGCUAGUAGGUGGGGUAAUGGCUCACCUAGGCGACGAUCCCUAGCUGGUCUGAGAGGAUGACCAGCCACACAGGAACGGGGACACGGUCCAGACUCCGACGGGAGGCAGCAGUGGGGAAUAUUGCACAAUGGGCGCAAGCCUGAUGCAGCAAUGCCGCGUGUGUGAAGAAGGCCUUCGGGUUGUAAAGCACUUUCAGCGAGGAGGCGGAACACGAAGAAGAAGCAACGGCUAACUCCGUGCCAGCAGCCGCGGUAAUAG